GGGGGCGACCUGGGUUCGACGUGGAAGAGGACGCCCGAGGUGCAUGCCGAGGAUGCAGAGUCCCUCGUAAAUCCCUCUGCAAAAAAGAUAGUUGCCAACGACGACAACUACGCCCUAGCCGCUUAAAGACGGCUAGCCUCCGCCCCGAGGUGUGCCUGUUCACACGGGUAGCGGGGGUCGCCAAUAACAGGAUCGCGGGAAGGUUCGUCCAGGGCCGACCCGUUAAACCCCAACUGGACUAGUUGGCCGUGCUCCCUGUCCGUCGGGUAGCGGUCAGCGAAUGUAAUGGACGGACUAAGCAUGUAGAGCCGACGGUAGAAUCUCCGCGGACGCGGGUUCAAUUCCCGCCGCCUCCACCA
RNAcentral lists this transfer-messenger RNA (359 nucleotides) under Thiohalospira halophila. Its description in RNAcentral is "Standard tmRNA". It matches the Rfam family "transfer-messenger RNA". From Rfam's summary of the family: Bacterial tmRNA, also known as 10Sa RNA or SsrA, is named for its dual tRNA and mRNA-like properties. The record is from RNAcentral. Lineage: Bacteria; Pseudomonadati; Pseudomonadota; Gammaproteobacteria; Thiohalospirales; Thiohalospiraceae. RNAcentral also lists the same sequence under 1 other name.